Molecule: long non-coding RNA, 1264 nt
Filed under: Homo sapiens (human)
Lineage: Eukaryota; Metazoa; Chordata; Mammalia; Primates; Hominidae
Description: HSALNT0276802
Source: RNAcentral
GGAGUUUGACACCAGCCUGGCCAAUGUGGUGAAACCCUGUCUGUACUGACAAUACAAAAAAUUAGCUGGGUGUGGUGGUGGACGCCUGUAAUUCCAGCUACUCGGGACGCUGAGGCAGGAGAAUCUCUUGAACCCAGGAGGAGGAGGUUGCAGUGAGUCAACAUCGUGCAACUGCACUCCAACCUGGGUGACAGAGCGAAAUUCCAUCUCAAAAAAAAAAAAAAAAGUAUCGAUAGAAUAUAUUUCUCAAAGGUCUGUCUCGUUGGUUUGUCUUACAUUUGCUUAGAAUUGGACUGAUGUUCUAGAUGCAUUUUUGUAAGCUGCACCAGCUGAGAUAGCAAUAAGCAAACUAAGAGGUUCUUGCCUAUCUUGCAGUCUGAGGCUCAGUGAGGUAACCCGACUCAUUAAACAUCACCUGACCCAGAUGACCUUGCAUGGUCAGAGGCUCAGCCAAGGCACCACACUGGGGUACUGAAGCUGAAUGAAAGCAGGCUGCAGCAUUAUCUGUACCUGCGGGCAGUCUCCUAAAUUAACAGCACCACCUGUCAUGGAGGUGGUUUGGUCUUCUUCAUGGUGUCUCAUCAUGUCCAAUAUCCACUCCAAAGGUGUUGAUUUGAGGACAUGCUUUUCAGCACUAGCCCCUCUCCUUCAGGAAUGCUUGAAUGAUGUUGUUGUAUCCUUUUUCUUAUUUGUUUGUUUUUGUUUUUUCUGAGAUAGAGUCUUGCUCUGUCACCCAGGCUGGAGUGCAGUGGCACAAUCUCAGCUCAUUGCAACCUCCAUCUCCUGGAUUCAAGCAAUUCUCCUGCCUCAGCCUCCUGAGUAGCUAGGAUUACAGGCAUGUGCCACCACACCCAGCUAAUUUUUGUAUUUUUAGUAGAGACCAGGUUUCACCAUGUUGGCCAGGCUGGUCUCGAACUCCUGACCUUGUGAUCCGCCUCUCUUGGCCUCCCAAAGUGCUGGGAUUACAGGCAUGAGCCACCGCGCCUAGUCUUGUUAUAGCCUUUUAAAGUGGUUUAUAAUAACAGUGUCUGGCCAAAUAAUAGCACAAAAAAACAAUUGCUAGUGUCCCAAGCACGUCAACAACCGUGUGAUUUGCUCAGUAAUGACAGGAUGUGGGCAUUUGCUUCCUUGCUAAAGUGGCGCCACCUUGUGGCAAUAGCAUAAACACAGUUUAUAAUCCACUCCACCAGCUUUGAAAUUGUUCUAUACUUAACAGGUUAAUUUUUUCCCCUAGCAUUUGUAUUAUUUAUAAUCUAUACGCGGA